RNAcentral lists this ribosomal RNA (495 nucleotides) under uncultured bacterium. RNAcentral describes it as "partial 16S ribosomal RNA". It matches the Rfam family "Bacterial small subunit ribosomal RNA", at positions 28 to 507 of the family's 1533-position model. The record is from RNAcentral.
GACGAACGCUGGCGGCGUGCCUAAUACAUGCAAGUAGAACGCUGAAGGAGGAGCUUGCUUCUCUGGAUGAGUUGCGAACGGGUGAGUAACGCGUAGGUAACCUGCCUGGUAGCGGGGGAUAACUAUUGGAAACGAUAGCUAAUACCGCAUAAGAGUAGAUGUUGCAUGACAUUUGCUUAAAAGGUGCAAUUGCAUCACUACCAGAUGGACCUGCGUUGUAUUAGCUAGUUGGUGGGGUAACGGCUCACCAAGGCGACGAUACAUAGCCGACCUGAGAGGGUGAUCGGCCACACUGGGACUGAGGCACGGUCCAGACUCCUACGGGAGGCAGCAGUAGGGAAUCUUCGGCAAUGGACGGAAGUCUGACCGAGCAACGCCGCGUGAGUGAAGAAGGUUUUCGGAUCGUAAAGCUCUGUUGUAAGAGAAGAACGAGUGUGAGAGUGGAAAGUUCACACUGUGACGGUAUCUUACCAGAAAGGGACGGCUAACUACGUG